GCCUUGCCCACCUCCCCGGCCGUGGAGGAAGCUCGGCCGCCCGCCGUCGCUUAGCUGCGGGCCCUCCUCGCGUAUACUCCGCGUGAUUAGUGACCGAGGGCGCGCGGUGUGUGCUUUUUUUGCUUCCGUCUUGACCGUGAACAUCAUCAGAUCACGGACCAAUAUUGGGUCCUGGAAAAAAAAAGUAGUGGGUGGUGACUAUAAAAAUGCAAUAGGCUGGGCGCGGUGGCUCACGCCUGUAAUCCCAACACUUUGGGAGGCGGAGGCGGGCGGAUCACUUGAGGUGAGGAGUUCAAGACCAGCCUGGGCAAAAUGGUGAAACCCUGUCUCUACUCUAAAAAUACAAAAAAACUAGCCGGGCGUGGUGACAGACACGUGUAAUCCCCAGCUACUCGGGAGUCUGAGGCAGGAGAAUCGCUUGAGCCUGAGACGUGAAGAUUGCAGUCAGCAGAGAUCUCACCACUGCAUUCCAGCCUGGGCGACAGAGCUAGACCCCGUCUCAAGAAAAAUAAUAAUAAAAAUGAAAUAGAAUAAGCUAGAAGAUAUCAGAUGGCGUGGUGGGUGGCUCAUGCCUGUAAUCUCAGCACUCUGGGAGGCCGAAGCGGGAAGAUCACUGGAGGCCAGGAGUUUGAGAUCAGCCUGGGCGACAUAUGGAGACCCCAUCUCUACAAAAAAAAAAAAAACUUUAAAAAAAAUUGGGCGAGUGUGGGGGCACAUACUUGUAGUUCCAGCUCCUGGGGAGGUGGAGGCAGAGGCGGGAGGAUCACUUGAGCCCAGGAGUUGGAGGCUGCAAUGAGCUGUGAUUGGACUACUGCACGCAGGGGUGGCAGCAAGACCCUAUUUCUAAAGGAAAAAAAGAAAAUAAUAGUAUCUCGCAUGGUGAAAGUAAGUAUUAUUUUGUGAAAUAUUUAAUUCACCUGUUUGUGUAAGUGUGGACUUGGUAAGGACCUAGAAUGUGUUUCUGACUAUAAUAAGAAGAUCUUACCUGCCCUGCAGGGUAGACGCUGUGACUCCCCAUUUGACAGAAGGGGAAACAGAGGCCCAGCACGGGGGAGUCACGCAGAGAAGUUGCAGUCUGGCCUGGUGGCAUCCUCCACAGGCUUGGGGCCGCAUCACACUGUCUCUUGUCUCUUCACAAAGGUGAAGCCAACCUGCUCCCACCAGAGCCCGGCAAUGGCCAGUAAGAGAACAGUGAUGAGUUUAAGGAAGGGGACACAGGAAGCAGAAGAGAAGAGGGAAAAUUCAGUUUCAUCUGCCAAGAUUGACCUGUACAUUCUAGAAUUGCUUCUUGGCUCCUGGAACAUCAUAUGCAGGAAGAGAACAGAGACAGCAAAGCCAUGGAGUCAGCCCAGCUCAGGGAGGAGAGGUCUCCAGCGACUGGGGCAUCUGGCCCUGGGAAGCGCGACCCAGACUCUCAGCUUCUCAACACAGCACAUCCUUCCCCACUUGGAUAUACAGGGUGCACCUGUCAGGAGGAGGUGCCAACCAGGUCUCCUGAGUGAGCUGGCCUGGUGAUCCCAUGUGGAGUCAAAGUCCUUCUGUCCCCCCACCCCACCCCAUUUUCCAAGUCUGAACAGCCCACCUGCCUGGUAAUCACCAGGCUUUAGACCAGCGAGCCCAAGGAUUUGGAGGAAUGAGCUGGGGCUUCUGGGAAACCCUGGGCCACUUGGACUGCCUGCCUCAGUUUCUUCAUUUGCCUGUCCAUCUCACUGGUGUGCUUGAGGACCCCGGAAGAUCAUGCCUGUGAAGGGCUUUGAGAGUAACCAGGGGCUAUUCUGGAGGAACGUGUAGGAACUGGGUGUGCUGAGGGCACUGGGAGGGCCAUAGGGACAGCUGGAGAGGUUUCUGCUGCAGCCACAAGCCACUCAUUACGUGCUUGCUCUGUGUAUGUAGGAGCAUGCCGUGGUCCCCAGUGACAGGUGGGGAGACAUGGAGUAAGGACCCUGCUCCACGUUGCAUCACCAGUCUAGCUGGGGUGGCACAGGCCAGCAUCCUGCAGCAGGCUGUACAAGCAUGGCAUCGCCAGCUGCUCGGCUUCCGGGGGUCCUCAGGGAGCUUCCACUCAGGCAGAAGGGGAAGCAGGAGCAGGCACAUUACCCGGCGAGAAGAGGAACAGGAAAGAGUGCGGGGCGGUGCCACACGCCUCUAAACAAUCAGAUCUUGGAGAACUCACUAUGGCAGGACAGCACCAAGCCACGAGGGAUCUGUCCCCAGGA
Molecule: long non-coding RNA, 2216 nt
Filed under: Homo sapiens (human)
Lineage: Eukaryota; Metazoa; Chordata; Mammalia; Primates; Hominidae
Description: HSALNT0270194
Source: RNAcentral